Molecule: ribosomal RNA, 446 nt
Filed under: Escherichia coli
Lineage: Bacteria; Pseudomonadati; Pseudomonadota; Gammaproteobacteria; Enterobacterales; Enterobacteriaceae
Description: bacterial SSU rRNA
Rfam family: Bacterial small subunit ribosomal RNA
Source: RNAcentral
AGAGUUUGAUCAUGGCUCAGAUUGAACGCUGGCGGCAGGCCUAACACAUGCAAGUCGAACGGUAACAGGAAGCAGCUUGCUGCUUCGCUGACGAGUGGCGGACGGGUGAGUAAUGUCUGGGAAACUGCCUGAUGGAGGGGGAUAACUACUGGAAACGGUAGCUAAUACCGCAUAACGUCGCAAGACCAAAGAGGGGGACCUUCGGGCCUCUUGCCAUCGGAUGUGCCCAGAUGGGAUUAGCUAGUAGGUGGGGUAACGGCUCACCUAGGCGACGAUCCCUAGCUGGUCUGAGAGGAUGACCAGCCACACUGGAACUGAGACACGGUCCAGACUCCUACGGGAGGCAGCAGUGGGGAAUAUUGCACAAUGGGCGCAAGCCUGAUGCAGCCAUGCCGCGUGUAUGAAGAAGGCCUUCGUCGUUGUAAAGUACUUUCAGCGGGGAGGAA